This is a long non-coding RNA of Vidua chalybeata, 1405 nucleotides long. RefSeq lists it as uncharacterized. NCBI's taxonomy places the organism in Eukaryota, Metazoa, Chordata, Aves, Passeriformes, Viduidae. The record is from RefSeq and is a predicted model, not a curated record. The transcript is spliced from 3 exons.
CAGGAGCUGGUGUGCUGGGAAACCUUGGCACAUUCUUCAACAUCAGCUCACAGGGUGGCUUUCUGAAGAAGCUGUUUCACCUCGUCUGUGCUGUCUGCAGCCUGCCCUGGUGUUGUGGCCAGGGGCAGAAGGACAAGGCUGCUGCACCACUGACAUUACAGGGUAGUGGAUGGGUUAGGACCAAAAUCCUGUUUUGGUUUCCUGAUCAAAGAGCCCAGCUUUGUUCUUCACAGGCUUCCCAGAUCCAGGCCUCCACGUGGGGAGGGACGUGGCCCCUGACAGCACGGUGUGGGUGGCUGACACUGGCCUUUCCCUGCAGCAAAGCUGGAGAUGGAGAUUCCAGCUGGCACACGUCGGCAGCUCCCCCAGGAGCAAGGCUGAUCCCCAGCCGCUUCACAGCUACUCACAUUUGGCCAGCUUCAAAUCAAAAGAAAAAGUCCCAUGGAAGGACUGAUCUCAGUGGACUGAACCUUAAGGGAAAGAAGCUUGGAAUGCAAAAGAACAUUUAACCCCUUAGGGUUGGUUGAUGAAGUGUUUGUUACAUCAACAGCCAAGGACCCACUUCUUGAGUCUCAGUGGGGGUUUGCUCAGGGAGCAAAUGCCCAAAGGACAUGCAGCUUUACUGGGUAAAUGUAGAGUUAUGGCCAAAUCCUGCUCUGUAGAGGAUACUAUGACCUCAGGCAUGCAGACAUACCAAUAAUGGCCAUUUAUACAGCAGCUUAAAUAGCAACAGCACUGCAGAGCACGUGUCCUCAGGAGAAGUCCAGCCUUGCCCCUGUACCAAUGGGCUCUGUGAAUCUUUUUGGGAUGGCAGCGUUACACUGGCAUUAGCCCAGUGUCAGAUGGGACAUCGGGGUCACCAAGCAGCUUUCUGGGAAACCCCCCCCCCGUGACAAAACAUUCUCCUUUCUGCAGAGCUAAAAAAUGUCAUCUUGACUCUGAGCAUCUGGCUGCUCUGUGCUCCCUGCGAGACCUGAGCACGGGCUCCAAACUUCUACAGGCUUUAAUUAAAAGCAAAAUGAGAUGUUGUCGUUACCACGGCGACAGCAGCAACAUUCGACACUUGGCAAGAGCAGUAACAAAGCACUGGAGGUGUUGGGGACUCCGCCGGGGGUUGCUCAUUUCCGAGAAAGCCCGAGGAGCGCGUGAAAAGCGCCUGCUCGCUGGGACGGGGAGAAUCGAGCAGAAGCUGCACUCCUGCAGCUUUUCCGAAAGAGAAGUUCCGUCAACACCGGGGCGAUGCCAAAUGCAGCCCUGGGAGAUGGGGCUGGGGCAGGUGGGUGUGCGCCCAUGGGAGGCUGUGCUGAGCUCCAUCCCUCUGCCUCGGGGUCUGGCCCUGCCUCUGGAAAGGGGUUAGAGAGAAGAGUGAAGCGAUACGCGGAAUAAACAAACAGACUCCACAGCC